Molecule: non-coding RNA, 89 nt
Organism: Jackrogersella minutella
Lineage: Eukaryota; Fungi; Ascomycota; Sordariomycetes; Xylariales; Hypoxylaceae
Source: the annotation of a GenBank genome assembly
GUCCCGUUGGCGCAAUGGCAGCGCGUUAGACUUCUAUGCAACAAAUGCUGGACAUCUAAAGGUUGCCGGUUCGAGCCCGGCACGGGAUG